GCCAGCUUAGCUCAGCGGCAGAGCAGCGGUUUCGUAAACCGCAGGUCCGGGGUUCGAAUCCCCGAGCUGGCU
This 72-nucleotide transfer RNA is filed under the name Deltaproteobacteria bacterium. RNAcentral describes it as "tRNA-Thr". It matches the Rfam family "tRNA". From Rfam's summary of the family: Transfer RNA (tRNA) molecules are approximately 80 nucleotides in length. Lineage: Bacteria; Pseudomonadati; Myxococcota; Myxococcia. The record is from RNAcentral.